Molecule: ribosomal RNA, 324 nt
Filed under: uncultured Desulfobulbus sp.
Lineage: Bacteria; Pseudomonadati; Thermodesulfobacteriota; Desulfobulbia; Desulfobulbales; Desulfobulbaceae
Description: bacterial SSU rRNA
Rfam family: Bacterial small subunit ribosomal RNA
Source: RNAcentral
AGCUCGUGUCGUGAGAUGUGGGUUAGUCCGCAACGAGCGCAACCCUUGCCUUUAGUUUGCCAGCAGUUCGGCUGGGCACUCUAAAGGGACUGCCGGUGUUAAACCGGAGGAAGGUGGGGAGUGACGUCAAGUCCUCAUGGCCUUUAUGACCAGGGCUACACACGUACUACAAUGGCCGAUACAAAGGGCAGCGACACUGCGAGGUGAAGCCAAUCCCGUAAAAUCGGUCUCAGUCCGGAUUGGAGUCUGCAACUCGACUCCAUGAAGUUGGAAUCGCUAGUAAUCGUGGAUCAGCAUGCCACGGUGAAUACGUUCCCGGGCCUU